Molecule: long non-coding RNA, 955 nt
Filed under: Mus caroli (Ryukyu mouse)
Lineage: Eukaryota; Metazoa; Chordata; Mammalia; Rodentia; Muridae
Description: lncRNA (MGP_CAROLIEiJ_G0005335.1)
Source: RNAcentral
CAUUCUAUGGUGUUCACUAAAGUUCUCAUACCCCUCUAAGAAAUGCUCAAGUGCAUAGCUGAAGAGCUCACCCCUGAAAUUCUGGGAGGUUCCAAGCAUUCCUGAGGCAGAUGCGGCCUGCUCCGGCUGCCUCAGGCUCCUCUUGAUGUCUUUCCCAUCAUGAUGGACGCCUCUGUGGUGGAAAGUCUGCACGGCGUGGGGGUGCACUCAUUUACUCAGUCAGAAGCAAGCAACGCUGUGUACCUGGCAUUGACUCUGCAGUGACAGCCCUAGAACUCACUUCUUCCUCAGGAAGAAAGCAUCAAGGACAGCCCUCCCCCCGCCCCCCCCCCCCCCCCCGCAUGUGGCUUCCUGUAUCUGCCAUGAAGCACCGGAGACAUUUAAAAGGAGGAAAGGCUUUAUUUUAGUCAUGGUCCCAGAACUUUCAUCCCUGAGCUGCUUGACCGGUUGCCUCUGUGGUGGGUUCAAAUGCCAUGGCGGGAGUAUGUAGUGGAGCAGAGCUGUUCAUGCUACUCACGGAGGCCAGGGGAGAAAAGGAAGGGGGUGGGAAGUGGGCCCCAAUAUCUGCCUAAAGACCUGUACCCAAUGAUAUAGUUCUAUUACUUCCAGAUGCUGCCAUGUUCCCGAGUUCCCCCAUAGCGACACUGUGUAGGUCCCAGGGACUUAAAGUCACCAGGCUUGGCGUGAGGUGCUUUUGCUCUCUGAUCACCUCUCUCCAGCGUGAACAUUAUCUAUUAGGGUAUGGGAAGGAAUGAAAAUAAAUAUUUAUGCUAACUAUACCAUCCUUACCUAAGCCUUUGCUAAAAAUACUAAAUAAUCCACAUUUUCUCCCACCAUAAAAAGAUUACCUUUCUCAUCUACUACAUUUUUAUAUUCACUGGGCUGUAGUUUGGAAUUCUUUGUCUAAAAGUCUAACUUGUCAAGGUCAUGUUUAUUGUAUUAUAACACCUUUCCC